Molecule: ribosomal RNA, 98 nt
Filed under: Eubacterium pyruvativorans
Lineage: Bacteria; Bacillati; Bacillota; Clostridia; Eubacteriales; Eubacteriaceae
Description: 23S rRNA. Bacterial LSU
Rfam family: Bacterial large subunit ribosomal RNA
Source: RNAcentral
UGGUAAGGCUCGUGGGAGACUACCACGUAGAUAGGCCGGAGGUGUAAGUAUGGUGACAUACUCAGCUGACCGGUACUAAUCGGCCGAAAGCUUGGUCA